Molecule: ribosomal RNA, 440 nt
Filed under: uncultured bacterium
Lineage: Bacteria
Description: partial 16S ribosomal RNA
Rfam family: Bacterial small subunit ribosomal RNA
Source: RNAcentral
CCUACGGGAGGCAGCAGUAGGGAAUAUUGCUCAAUGGGGGAAACCCUGAAGCAGCAACGCCGCGUGGAGGAUGAAGGUUUUCGGAUUGUAAACUCCUUUUGUUAGAGAAGAUAAUGACGGUAUCUAACGAAUAAGCACCGGCUAACUCCGUGCCAGCAGCCGCGGUAAUACGGAGGGUGCAAGCGUUACUCGGAAUCACUGGGCGUAAAGAGAGCGUAGGCGGGAUAGCAAGUCAGAUGUGAAAUCCUAUGGCUUAACCAUAGAACUGCAUUUGAAACUGGUAUUCUAGAGUAUGGGAGAGGUAGGUAGAAUUCUUGGUGUAGGGGUAAAAUCCGUAGAGAUCAAGAGGAAUACUCAUUGCGAAGGCGACCUGCUAGAACAUAACUGACGCUGAUGCGCGAAAGCGUGGGGAGCAAACAGGAUUAGAUACCCCUGUAGUC